GAAAAUCUGGAAGAGUUUCUCUGUUGGAAAUCUGUCAGUCUGAUCUCUGAAGAACUCUGGAGAAUCAAACCUGCCAAAGACCUGCCUGCCCGCUCUCAGAAGAAUCUGUAAGAGAAACUCAAUCUGUCCCUGUAAACUCUCUAGCCAAGCUCUGCCUCCGCCAGGCCCUCUGCCUGCAAACAGCCUCUGGACCCUCCUGGUUCCCCCUCUCUGCUGCUCUGCUCAAACUUAAGAUCAGUAAACCCAGUCGUGACCAAUCCUGGAUCUGAUAACCCCCUGGAUCUGUACAUUUAUUAUUGUGCCUUGUUCAAUAAACUGUUGAACUUUU
Cyprinodon tularosa is the source of this 328-nucleotide long non-coding RNA. RefSeq lists it as uncharacterized. Lineage: Eukaryota; Metazoa; Chordata; Actinopteri; Cyprinodontiformes; Cyprinodontidae. The record is from RefSeq and is a predicted model, not a curated record. The transcript is spliced from 2 exons.